AAGCUCGUAGUUGAAUUUCGGGGUUAGUAGGUUGGUCAUGCCUCUGGUAUGUACUGGUCUCACUGAUUCCUCCUUCCUGAUGAGCCGUAAUGCCAUUAAUUUGGUGUUGCGAGGAAUCUGGACUGUUACUUUGAAAAAAUUAGAGUGUUUAAAGCAGGCUAACGCUUGAAUACAUUAGCAUGGAAUAAUGAAAUAGGACGUUCGAUCCUAUUUUGUUGGUUUCUAGGAUUGACGUAAUGAUUAAUAGGGAUAGUUGGG
Molecule: ribosomal RNA, 258 nt
Filed under: Rhizophagus sp. (in: glomeromycetes)
Lineage: Eukaryota; Fungi; Glomeromycota; Glomeromycetes; Glomerales; Glomeraceae
Description: partial small subunit ribosomal RNA
Rfam family: Eukaryotic small subunit ribosomal RNA
Source: RNAcentral